RNAcentral lists this ribosomal RNA (752 nucleotides) under marine metagenome. RNAcentral describes it as "bacterial SSU rRNA". It matches the Rfam family "Bacterial small subunit ribosomal RNA", at positions 755 to 1520 of the family's 1533-position model. The record is from RNAcentral.
GAAAGCGUGGGGAGCAAACCGGAUUAGAUACCCGGGUAGUCCACGCUGUAAACGAUGAUUGCUAGGUUUUCGAGGCAUCGACCCCUCGUGAGCCGAAGUUAACGCGUUAAGCAAUCCGCCUGAGUAGUACGGCCGCAAGGCUAAAACUCAAAGAAAUUGACGGGGGACCGCACAAGCAGCGGAGCGUGUGGUUUAAUUCGAUGGUAAGCGAAGAACCUUACCUGGGUUUGACAUGUAAGUAGUACUGAACCGAAAGGGGAAGGACCCGCAAGGGAGCUUACACAGGUGUUGCAUGGUUGUCGUCAGCUCGUGCCGUGAGGUGUUGGGUUAAGUCCCGCAACGAGCGCAACCCUCUUCGUUAGUUACACUCUCUAACGAUACUGCCCCUAAAAGGGAGGAAGGUGGGGAUGACGUCAAAUCAUCAUGGCUCUUACACCCAGGGCUACACACACGCUACAAUGGCAAGUACAAACGGUCGCCAACCCGCGAGGGGGAGCCAAUCCGAUAAAACUUGUCUCAGUUGGGAUUGCAGGCUGAAAUUCGCCUGCAUGAACGUGGAGUUGCUAGUAAACGCAGGUCAGCAUACUGCGUUGAAUACGUUCCCGGUCCUUGUACACACCGCCCGUCACGUCAUGGAAGUUGGUAACACUUGAAGUCGUUGUGCUAACCGUUUUACGGAGGCAGACGCCGAGAGUGGGACUGAUGACUGGGACGAAGUCGUAACAAGGUAGCUGUAGCGGAAGCUGCGGCUG